GACGAACGCUGGCGGCGUGCUUAACACAUGCAAGUCGAACGAUGAAGCCGGAGCUUGCUCUGGUGAAUUAGUGGCGAACGGGUGAGUAACACGUGAGUAACCUGCCCUUGACUCUGGGAUAACUGCGGGAAACUGUAGCUAAUACUGGAUACGACCCUCGGAGGCAUCUCCUGGGGGUGGAAAGAAUUUCGGUCAAGGAUGGACUCGCGGCCUAUCAGCUAGUUGGUGAGGUAAAGGUUCACCAAGGCGCCGACGGGUAGCCGGCCUGAGAGGCUGACCGGCCACACUGGGACUGAGACACGGCCCAGACUCCUACGGGAGGCAGCACUGGGGAAUGUUGCACAAUGGGCGCAAGCAUGAUGCAGUAACGCGGCGUGCGGGACGACGGCCUUCGGGUUGUAAACCUCUUUUAGUAGGGAAGAAGCGAAAGCAACGGUACCUGCAGCAAAAGCACCGGCUAACUACGUGCCAGCCGCCGCCGUAA
Molecule: ribosomal RNA, 484 nt
Filed under: uncultured bacterium
Lineage: Bacteria
Description: partial 16S ribosomal RNA
Rfam family: Bacterial small subunit ribosomal RNA
Source: RNAcentral